GAAGUUACACCCGAUAAACCGAGGAGUCGAAAACCAUCACAAUAUUUGUGCCCUCCUUACACCGAGUUGCACACGACACCGAAGCAAAAAAGAAGAACAAAAAAGAAGGUUGAUAUCAAAUCAACAAGCCCCGUUCCUCCUCCAGUUUUUGGUGUUGCUCAUGACUUCUCCAUGUUGCGCCUGCAACCUUACGUAGCAGGCGGUGAGGAUGUCAUCCAAAAUUAUGUAUUGCAUUCAUAUGAUGUCCAGCAUCGUUUGUUUAAUUUCGUGUUAGAUAGAGAUUUUUGGAGCUCAUUGUUUGGGCAUACACACGACGGAUGGUUGGAGUCAGCGCAUAUAACCAUUUGGUACCGAC
Molecule: non-coding RNA, 355 nt
Organism: Lactuca sativa (garden lettuce)
Lineage: Eukaryota; Viridiplantae; Streptophyta; Magnoliopsida; Asterales; Asteraceae
Source: RefSeq, a predicted model, not a curated record